AGUGAACGCUGGCGGUAGGCCUAACACAUGCAAGUCGAACGGCAGCACAGUAAGAGCUUGCUCUUACGGGUGGCGAGUGGCGGACGGGUGAGGAAUACAUCGGAAUCUACUUUUUCGUGGGGGAUAACGUAGGGAAACUUACGCUAAUACCGCAUACGACCUACGGGUGAAAGCAGGGGAUCUUCGGACCUUGCGCGAUUGAAUGAGCCGAUGUCGGGUUAGCUAGUUGGCGGGGUAAAGGCCCACCAAGGCGACGAUCCGUAGCUGGUCUGAGAGAAUGAUCAGCCACACUGGAACUGAGAGACGGUCCAGACUCCUAGGGGAGGCAGCAGUGGGGAAUAUUGGACAAUGGGCGCAAGCCUGAUCCAGCCAUACCGCGUGGGUGAAGAAGGCCUUCGGGUUGUAAAGCCCUUUUGUUGGGAAAGAAAAGCAGCAGGUUAAUACCCCGCUGUUAUGACGGUACCCAAAGAAUAAGCACCGGCUAACUUCGUG
RNAcentral lists this ribosomal RNA (492 nucleotides) under uncultured bacterium. RNAcentral's name for it is "partial 16S ribosomal RNA". It matches the Rfam family "Bacterial small subunit ribosomal RNA", at positions 29 to 507 of the family's 1533-position model. The record is from RNAcentral.